RNAcentral lists this ribosomal RNA (489 nucleotides) under uncultured bacterium. RNAcentral's name for it is "bacterial SSU rRNA". It matches the Rfam family "Bacterial small subunit ribosomal RNA", at positions 8 to 526 of the family's 1533-position model. The record is from RNAcentral.
AGAGUUUGAUCAUGGCUCAGCCUGAACGCUGGCGGCGUGGUUAAGACAUGCAAGUCGUACGGUGUAGCAAUACACAGUGGCGCACGGGUGAGUAAUGUAUCGCUAAUGUACCCUGGAGACUGUGAUAGCUGCCCGAAAGGGCAGGUAAUACCAGAUGAAACACUUUGGUCGCAUGGCCGAGGUUUCAAAGGGCAACCGCUCUGGGAGCAGGCGAUAUCCUAUCAGCUUGUUGGUGAGGUAACGGCUCACCAAGGCUACGACGGGUAACCGGACUGAGAGGUCGGCCGGUCACAUUGGAACUGAGACACGGUCCAGACUCCUACGGGGGGCUGCAGUAACGAAUCUUCCCCAAUGCACGAAAGUGUGAGGGAGCGACGCCGCGUGGAGGACGAAGUCCUUCGGGAUGUAAACUCCUGUCAGGGGUUACCAAGUUCUGAGGAACCCCAGAGGAAGAGGCGACUAACUCUGUGCCAGCAGCCGCGGUAAUUC